ACUCAGCAGCUACACUAGAAGGAUAGAACAAGGAAAGCAUGGGACUGAAGAGUAAGAGUGUACCUGAGGCUCUGAACUGUGAAGUGGGUGUUGGCAGGAGUCCCUGAACAGGGCAGUCAGGUCAGAGUGUGCUCAAGGUUGAAGGAGACAAUGGACACGUUGCUAAAGACUGGGGGCAGGCACACCACUGAAACAUAUAGACAUAUAGAGAGAGAGGGAGGGAGACGCAGACAAAAAAAAUAUAAAAUGAUAAGACAGUCACAGAACAGGACAGCCAGAGAGACAGGUAUUAAACAGGACACCAGCCAGAAAGACAGGUAUUAAACAGGACACCAGCCAGAAAGACAGGUAUUAAACAGGACACCAGCCAGAGACAGGUAUUAAACAGGACACCAGCCAGAGACAGGUAUUAAACAGGACACCAGCCAGAGACAGGUAUUAAACAGGACACCAGCCAGAGA
This is a long non-coding RNA of Oncorhynchus tshawytscha (Chinook salmon), 461 nucleotides long. NCBI's taxonomy places the organism in Eukaryota, Metazoa, Chordata, Actinopteri, Salmoniformes, Salmonidae. The record is from Ensembl.